UGGGGAAUUUUGCGCAAUGGGGGAAACCCUGACGCAGCGAUGCCGCGUGAGUGAAGAAGGCCCUUGGGUUGUAAAGCUCUUUCGGCCGGGAAGAAGGGUCUGUCGGUGAAUAAUCGGCAGAUUUGACUGUACCGGAAGAAGAAGCACCGGCUAACUCCGUGCCAGCAGCCGCGGUAAUACGGAGGGUGCAAGCGUUGCUCGGAAUCAUUGGGCGUAAAGGGCGCGUAGGCGGGCGCAUAAGUCGAUUGUGAAAGCCCUGGGCUUAACCCGGGAACUGCAGUCGAUACUGUGUGUCUUGAGUGCUUAAGAGGGUACUGGAAUUCCUGGUGUAGAAGUGAAAUUCGUAGAUAUCAGGAGGAACACCGGAGGCGAAGGCGGGUACCUGGUGAGCUACUGACGCUGAGGCGCGAAAGUGCGGGGAGCAAACAGG
RNAcentral lists this ribosomal RNA (430 nucleotides) under uncultured bacterium. Its description in RNAcentral is "bacterial SSU rRNA". It matches the Rfam family "Bacterial small subunit ribosomal RNA", at positions 355 to 776 of the family's 1533-position model. The record is from RNAcentral.